This 252-nucleotide ribosomal RNA is filed under the name uncultured bacterium. RNAcentral describes it as "partial 16S ribosomal RNA". It matches the Rfam family "Bacterial small subunit ribosomal RNA", at positions 524 to 776 of the family's 1533-position model. The record is from RNAcentral.
UACGGGGGGGGCAAGCGUUGUUCGGAAUUACUGGGCGUAAAGGGCUCGUAGGUGGCCAACUAAGUCAGACGUGAAAUCCCUCGGCUUAACCGGGGAACUGCGUCUGAUACUGGAUGGCUUGAGUUCGGGAGAGGAUGCGGAAUUCCAGGUGUAGCGGUGAAAUUCGUAGAUAUGGGGCGGAACACCGGUGGCGAAGGCGGCCAUCUGGACGGAUACUGACGCUGAGACGCGAAAGCGUGGGUAGCAAACAGG